Molecule: ribosomal RNA, 447 nt
Filed under: Meriphus sp. CND689
Lineage: Eukaryota; Metazoa; Arthropoda; Insecta; Coleoptera; Curculionidae
Description: partial 28S ribosomal RNA
Source: RNAcentral
UAGGGUAACCUGARMAACCCSRAAGGUCGAAGGGAGAAAUUCAUUCGCGUUUCGUCGCAGGCGUUGGGCGGUCGAGCGACGGGAAGCGUUCGCGCGCUUUCCCGCGCCUUCCGUCUUCCGAACCGGCGGCGUACGCGUGCACUUUYCUCCUGGUAGGACGUCGCGAUCCGUUGGGUGUCGGUCUACGGCUCGCGGUGGAGCCCGUUCGUCGCGAUUUCAUCGCGCGAACGGACCCGCGUGUCCCGGCUGACUCGCUCGACGGUAUACGAAAGGUUUAGGGCCGCUCUUUCGGAGCGUUCGACUCGCGGCAAGCGCGCCAGAUGCGUCGGCGAUCGGACCCGGUGCCGAUUCUGACCUCUGGUGACUGUUGGCCGCGAAGUUCUCGAACAGACCUUCGAACCGAUCUGCGACGCUAUAGCUUUGGGUAAUUUCAGGACCCGUCUUGAA